CUUAUUUUCAUUUUUGUUCUUAUUCUUAAGGGACUUGAGGCCAUGCUCCCACUUCUGUUUAUCAGGGACACAGUGGGGGAAUAAUAAUAAUUGGGAAACAAAAUCUCUCUCAGUAAGUACUGUGUACUGUAGAUGUGUUUCUAUUGGUCUGUCAAAGAGAAUAGGAGUAUAUGUGACAGUACAGCCCCAAUGUCAGGAUGCUGGACUGGAAAGGUCUUCUCCCCCUCACCCAGUCUAAGUGCCAAAGAGAGAACCCCUCCUCCUGCUCCUGCAAUGGCCAGUCUUUCCUGGGCUCUUUCUGUGCAAGAGGAGGGCCAGCUGUGCCUGCUGCCUGCCCCAAAACAAUUCCUGCUGUGGCUGGGAUGGGACAUUGGGAGAGAGAAGAAAUGGGUGUUGUAACCAGAGCUGGUGUUGUAACCAGCUGUGUUCUGCUCCUGUGCUCGUGGGCAGCCUGGCCUCUCACCUCCUCUGGAAGUCCUGCCUGAAGUGUCUCAGAUACUGCUCAAAGCACAAUUUUGCCUCCAGAUUUUUCACUAUUGGUCAGUUUAACUUUUAUUUUUUCUGUAGGGAAGAAGGGUGUGCACAACUGUCAGAAGAAAACCAUUUCAAAGAAUUAUUUUUAUAUUGAGGGAAAUAAGGGGAGCUGUUCACUGAAUCCCAUCUUCAAUUACUUGUGGAUAUACAUACAAGAAAUCACUCCAUCCAUAUUGUUUUGGCUGCCUAAUUGUCCUAACCCAGUAACUCAGUCAAAUCACUCCAUGGUUUUGAAACUGAGGCCAGGAAGGAGCACAAGGAAGUCUGACCCAAAAGAGAUGAGAAUGACUCCCUGUGGGAAGUGGAAUGUGCCAAAUUGCUGUGAUAAGCAGAGGUGCAGGAAGGCUGUUUGGACUUGGCUGUGCCACCCUCAGGACAUCAGGUAGCCAAAUGUCUCCGAGGCUGGGUGUGGCCAGCUCCUGCCCUGGCACAGGUGCCCCUGGGAAGCUGAUGGUGCUGGGGAUGCUCCCAACACCCCAUGGAGCUUACGGAGCUAAGUUGUCAGAUAAUUGGCUUUCUUCUGCUCAAGUCUGUUGCCACAAAGUGGAUUCAUGUCGAAAAGAAGGAAAAUCUCAUGCAACCAACAUUAAGCGCCAAAAAAAUGAUGUUUCCAAAGACUCUGUAAGUUUGUCCUUUUCACCUAAGUUUGAUAAACUGUGAAGCAAAGUUUUGGCCUGGUGGGCAGCCUUGGUC
This 1227-nucleotide long non-coding RNA is filed under the name Chloebia gouldiae (Gouldian finch). Its description in RNAcentral is "Erythrura gouldiae (Gouldian finch) lncRNA (ENSEGOG00005006193.1)". Lineage: Eukaryota; Metazoa; Chordata; Aves; Passeriformes; Passeridae. The record is from RNAcentral.